Molecule: ribosomal RNA, 491 nt
Filed under: uncultured bacterium
Lineage: Bacteria
Description: partial 16S ribosomal RNA
Rfam family: Bacterial small subunit ribosomal RNA
Source: RNAcentral
AGUGAACGCUGGCGGUAGGCCUAACACUUGCAAGUCGAACGGCAGCACAGUAAGAGCUUGCUCUUACGGGUGGCGAGUGGCGGACGGGUGAGGAAUACAUCGGAAUCUACUUUUUCGUGGGGGAUAACGUAGGGAAACUUACGCUAAUACCGCAUACGACCUACGGGUGAAAGCAGGGGAUCAUCGGACCUUGCGCGAUUGAAUGAGCCGAUGUCGGAUUAGCUAGUUGGCGGGGUAAAGGCCCACCAAGGCGACGAUCCGUAGCUGGUCUGAGAGGAUGAUCAGCCACACUGGAACUGAGACACGGUCCAGACUCCUACGGGAGGCAGCAGUGGGGAAUAUUGGACAAUGGGCGCAAGCCUGAUCCAGCCAUACCGCGUGGGUGAAGAAGGCCUGCGGGUUGUAAAGCCCUUUUGUUGGGAAAGAAAAGCAGCAGGUUAAUACCCCGCUGUUCUGACGGUACCCAAAGAAUAAGCACCGGCUAACUUCGU